This 239-nucleotide long non-coding RNA is filed under the name Nicotiana benthamiana. RNAcentral's name for it is "long non-coding RNA (NBEN_LNC023771)". The record is from RNAcentral. Lineage: Eukaryota; Viridiplantae; Streptophyta; Magnoliopsida; Solanales; Solanaceae.
UUGUACCAAAGAACAUUCAAUGGACGAUUGGUGGUAUUGCUUGGGGCCAGGGUACACCGAUUAUGUUCUACGAGAAAUCUAUGAAAGCACUAGCGGAAACCACUUCGGUGCCGACUGUUACGCCCCGAGCCUGGGAGUGAGACGGGCACCUGGUGCAUCAUCUAUCUUUGCAUACCACUUGCGACUAAGAGACUCUGAACAUGUAAUUUCAUACUUUAGCUAUGGGACACAUUACAAAA